AGAGUGACGACUAUUGAGCAGUUCAUUACUGAUUGACAGCUUUGAGCAGUUCUCUACCGUUAAACAACCUACCGGCUUGACCAGCUACCCAUCUACCUACUCAUCUACCUUCUUCACUAGCUACCUAUCUACCUUCACCACCUUCUCAUCUACCUUCU
Long non-coding RNA from Trematomus bernacchii (emerald rockcod), 158 nucleotides. RefSeq lists it as uncharacterized. The transcript has 3 exons. Lineage: Eukaryota; Metazoa; Chordata; Actinopteri; Perciformes; Nototheniidae. The record is from RefSeq and is a predicted model, not a curated record.